CGGGUGCACUGAUCCGGCCGGGCCUUUCCCUCUGUGGAACCCCAUGGCCUUCACUGGCUGUGCGGGGGAAACAGGACUUUUACUGUGAAAAAAUUAGAGUGCUCCAGGCAGGCCUAUGCUCGAAUACAUUAGCAUGGAAUAAUAGAAUAGGACGCGUGGUUCUAUUUUGUUGGUUUCUAGGACCGCCGUAAUGAUUAAUAGGGACAGUCGGGGGCAUCAGUAUUCAAUUGUCAGAGGUGAAAUUCUUGGAUCUAUUGAAGACUAACUACUGCGAAAGCAUUUGCCAAGGAUGUUUUCAUUGAUAAGGAACGAAAGUUAGGGGAUCGAAGACGAUCAGAUACCGUCGUAGUCUUAACUAUAAACUAUGCCGACUAGGGAUCGGACGAUGUUAUUUCUUGACGCGUUCGGCACCUUUCGAGAAAUCAAAGUGCUUGGGCUCCAGGGGGAGUAUGGUCGCAAGGCUGAAACUUAAAGAAAUUGACGGAAGGGCACCACCAGGGGUGGAACCUGCGGCUUAAUUUGACUCAACACGGGGAAACUCACCAGGUCCAGACACAAUGAGGAUUGACAGAUUGAGAGCUCUUUCUUGAUUUUGUGGGUGGUGGUGCAUGGCCGUUCUUGGUGGAGUGAUUUGUCUGCUUAAUUGCGAUAACGAACGAGACCUUAACCUGCUAAAUAGCCCGUACUGCUCUGGCAGUUCGCCGGCUUCUUAGAGGGACUAUCGG
RNAcentral lists this ribosomal RNA (725 nucleotides) under uncultured eukaryote. RNAcentral's name for it is "SSU rRNA". It matches the Rfam family "Eukaryotic small subunit ribosomal RNA", at positions 670 to 1426 of the family's 1831-position model. The record is from RNAcentral.